AGGGCAGGUCGAGGGCAGGCAGAAUGGUCAGAACCAGGAAGACUAGAAAACAGCAACUAGAAAGACUCGAAGACGGGAAAACACACUGAUUCCUCCUGUUUUGACAUCAGAGACACUCUCUUGUGGUCGGUUUUGUUUGCUGGAGCCUUUGGGCACAUGGAGGCAGAGCAGCCUGGAGUCCCUGCUUGCCUGGAGCUCCCCAUGCCUGGCUCCGGGGGAGGUUGGGCUGGAUUAGACAACUGACAGCUGGGCCACAUCUCUGGAGACGCCGGGUGGAGAGGCCCCCUGUCUUUCUGCCGCUGAACCAAGUGUCAAUUUGGGCAUGAAGGAAAGAGCGGGGAGCAGGCAAAGAAAGGAAUGGAGGGAGCGAGCGAACAGGGGCCCCUGGUUGUCCUCUGUGGAUCAACAACAGUGGUGCAUGGGCCGUGCACACCGUUAGGCAUCGAGAAACACACUGUUUAUUUAGGAGGAGCCUCCGACAUGGGAGCACUAACGUACACACACAGACGGACACACUCAUGCUUGCGCACACAAACACACAAGGAUGGACACUGACAGAGAUAAAGCACAGGGAUGAGCUCUGGUCUCUUCUAGUAAAAGUCUUGUUGUUAGUGUGAGGAGAGGAGAACGUCUGAGUUGCAAUGUUGACAGCAUGCAUUUACAUGACCUUGUUGUAAGUAACACACUCACAGAUUUUGUAACCAACAGCUUAAAUAAUGCCUGGAACUAUUCUUGGAGAAAACCACAGCUUUUCGAUAAUGAAGAAAUGGCCUGGAAAAUUAACCACCUCAGGUGGUAUCCUAUACAAUUAAGUGCAAUCAAGAUU
Long non-coding RNA from Oncorhynchus tshawytscha (Chinook salmon), 826 nucleotides. RefSeq lists it as uncharacterized. The record is from RefSeq and is a predicted model, not a curated record. The transcript is spliced from 3 exons. NCBI's taxonomy places the organism in Eukaryota, Metazoa, Chordata, Actinopteri, Salmoniformes, Salmonidae.